Molecule: unclassified non-coding RNA, 256 nt
Filed under: uncultured fungus
Lineage: Eukaryota; Fungi
Description: sequence contains 5.8S rRNA gene
Source: RNAcentral
GAACGCACAUUGCACUCCUUUGGAGUAUGCCUGUUUGAGCGUCAUUAUCACCCCUCGGGCCCCGUGCUCGGUGUUGGACGGCCGGUUCGGUGACCGAACCCCUCCUAAAGACAAUGACGGCGGCCUGUGGUUCCCCCGGUACACUGAGCCUUUGGCACGUGCCGGACGAGGGCGCCCAGGACCCGGUCCUCUCCUCUCAGCAGGAAACUUCUCAAGGUUGACCUCGGAUCAGGUAGGAAUACGCGCUGAACUUAAG